UACGUAGGUGGCAAGCGUUGUUCGGCAUUAUUGGGCGUAAAGCGCGCGCAGGCGGUCCUUUAAGUCGGCUGUGAAAGCCCACGGCUCAACCGUGGAGGGUCAUUGGAAACUGGAGGACUUGAGUGCAGAAGAGGAAAGUGGAAUUCCAUGUGUAGCGGUGAAAUGCGUAGAGAUGUGGAGGAACACCAGUGGCGAAGGCGACUUUAUGGUCUGUAACUGACGCUGAGGCGUGAAAGCGUGGAGAGCAAACAGG
This 253-nucleotide unclassified non-coding RNA is filed under the name uncultured Caryophanaceae bacterium. RNAcentral describes it as "uncultured Planococcaceae bacterium contains 16S-23S intergenic spacer region". It matches the Rfam family "Bacterial small subunit ribosomal RNA", at positions 524 to 776 of the family's 1533-position model. The record is from RNAcentral. Lineage: Bacteria; Bacillati; Bacillota; Bacilli; Caryophanales; Caryophanaceae.